Chelonia mydas (Green sea turtle) is the source of this 14138-nucleotide long non-coding RNA. RefSeq lists it as uncharacterized. NCBI's taxonomy places the organism in Eukaryota, Metazoa, Chordata, Testudines, Cheloniidae. The record is from RefSeq and is a predicted model, not a curated record. The transcript is spliced from 2 exons.
UUACAAAACUUACAUAUUGGUGGGCAGAAAUAUUGGAAGAUAAUACAGAUGAUACAACAGACAUUUUAAUAUACAUUUACUUAAAUAAUUGUUUAAUUGUUUAAAUUAUUUCAACACUUCAGCAUUUUUUCCUCACAGUUGAACCAAGUGCAGUUAUGAUUUAGGAAAGUUAUUGGUUUGUUGCUGACAGUCCUUUAUUAUUGAGAUUGCUUCUCAAAUUUUUAUUGCUGUAGUACAGAUCGCUCUCUUUCUCUCAAAAAAAAAAAUUUUUUUUUUUGUUAUGCUUGCUUCGUGUUAUCUUUCCCUUGCAUCCACUAGGGGAGACAAACAACUCACUUCCUCUGAAAAGACCACUGGUGAAUCUACAUUACAUUUCUUUAUAGGACAUAAACAUGAAUCCCGCCCCAUCAGCAGCCAUCAUUAUACUCUCUCUGACUUUUUAUUUUGUAUUUAUCCCAUGCCUUUUUACUUUGUAUUAAUUUUCCAUCUAACGCCUUUCCUUUCUAUGAAGCAAAAGUGAUAUGACUAUAAGUUUAGAAUGUGUGAGUGAUAGCUAUACAGAAUGUUGUAUCUGGAGUGUUAAAAUCUUAAGGCAUUGUUGGCUUUUCUUUAGAAAAUUCCUAUUUUUAAGUGAAGAUUUUUAAAAAGUAAAGCCAUGCAUAAGAAAAUUGUAGGUGUCAAAUAUUUGAGCUAAAGGAUCCAACUGUAAGAUUACCAUGGCUAGAUGUCACCUGAACUAGUUUUUUCAGAAAUUUUAUGAGGAACUUAUUCUGUCCUGUGAAAUGAAGUUGUGUAAGUUAAUUAUUCUUCUUGAUAGUGUUUUUCUCAUAAUAUGUACUUUCCUUAGGUUAGUCUUUAAAAUUCUUGUUUUUUUAUAUCCUCUGCCAUUUGUCAUGUUGAUAUAUAGAUUUUUAUGUUUGAAACGUAUGCAUGAUGUUAGUUCUGACUCCACUGAAACAAAAUUGGAUCUGCAUAAAAAACUCAUGCUGUGAAAGUAUAAUUUUAAAAAGUUUCUAUUUACUGUUGAGUCGAAGGAGGGAGGGCGGUUGGCUAGCAGGGAAGUGGAGUGAACCAUUGGGGUGGGUUUUCAUCAAGGAGAAACAAACGGAACUGUCACACCACCGUAGCCAGAAAAUAUAUGGGGAGGAAAUUACAAGUAACACUUGGUGCAAUUUUUAAAUGAUUUUUUCCUGUAAAAAUGCUUUUUCAGACAUACUUGGAAACAACACUGACAUCUGAUUAGAAAGAUUAAUGUAUUUUACAUAAAUACUGUGAUACUAGAUUGAUGUUUUGAAUUCGGACAAUGGAUUAAUCUGCACUGAAAGUCUAUGGGGCUUCUUUCGCUACAUGUUUACUCUCACCAAUUGUUAAUAGAAGUGCAUAAUGUAUAAUAUGUACACAAUAUAGCAUUGCUAUAUAUUCUAUAUCCUAGAUACAGAAUGUACAGAUUAUCUAUAGGCCCACUUACAAAAUUAAUCCAAACAUUUAAAUUACAUUUACAAAAGUUUAUUGUAUACAUUAUUUAAAAAAUCAAGAAAUACAAACUGCAGUGUUUAGUUCUUACACUUACGUGAUAAUUUUACCAGUUAUAUUUUAUGUAACAGUUGAAAAACAAAGCUUGUCUGAAAUCCUAAUUAUUGUAAAAUUCAGUUGUGACUUCCUGCUUAGAUGCAAGGAUUAACAUCUUUGCUCCAUUCGAGGCAAUGCCAGAACUCUUUGUGACUUCAGUGAGGCCAGAAUUUCACCCCAGAUAUUUUGAGUUUCAGAACUGUUUUACAGAGUUUUUUUAAAAAAUCUAUUUGAGUGAGACAGUCUCGCACUUUAUUUUGAGUAUCUUUAUGGAAUUAAGUAAAUUGACUGGGGAUAACAUCUUUUACUUGCAGUCAGUCUCACAGUUCAGAAAUGUUAGCUAUAUUACUCUAACCACAUUAACAACUGAUUGAGUAGUUAAAAUAAAACCCUAAAGAUGAAGAGAAAUGCCUUCUUUAAAAUAAAAUUCCAUUUAAUAGAACUGUGCAUUUUAAAUCUAUAAAUAUUUUUGUUGCUUAAUCUCAAAGUACAAAUAUUUAAGAUGCAUUUUUAUUUUUUAUUUAGUUCAUUUAGAUGAAUAUAUAGGUUUAGGUCCAUAUAAAUCUAGACUUAAUUAGCAAGUUUUUCACUUAAUCUUGAACAUUGUUCAGGGGCUCAGUCAUGCAGCUGUUAAACACACACAACUCCUGUGGAUUUAGCUCUCUCCUAAAGUCCUGAUCCUGCAGCCCUUAUUGAUUCAGAACUCCUACUGAAAUAGCUCCUUGUUUUCCAUUUUGUGCUUAUUUUACAAUCUCCACUGCUGUUCUCUAAACAAAGUUUUUCUUUCCUGAAUUGCCAUCUUUUUGACAAAGUUCUUCAUUAAAGUUUUCAUACCUGUUUAUCUCUUUCACAUUAACUCGGAUAAGUGAUCAGUUUGUUGGAAUUGGCUGCUGCCGUGGACCAUGAUCCUUUAGAGAGGUCCAGUGCACAGACCCUUCCUUGUAUCUUUGUGAAAUCCAAAUCUAGUUGAAAUUGAUUUUCUUUGCAGGUUCAGUGUCUUAAACUACUACAGAGUAGCAUGUUAGUGUUCAAUCAAAAUGAAAUGAAAUUAAAAAUACAGAAAAUGCAGGAGUAUGACAUUUCUGUUUUCAGAUUGAUAUUUUACUAAAUUAUUAUUUCAUGUUGAUAGUCAAAAUGUUCAUGUUCAAAAGACUUUGUUUUUUUUAUUCAGAUGUACCUUUUGAAAAUCAUGAAGUCAUAGACAAGUUCUGCUUAAAGGCGUUGCUUCUAUGAUUACAUUCCUCGUGUUUCUCCUAGUACAGAUCAACAUUCGUAGUAAUUGGAAGAUAAACCAGUAUAAUAAUUUUUCAGUUUCAUUAGUAUGAGUAUUAAAUGUAAUCUUUUUGUAUUAUAGGAAUAUAAUGAGCAAUUUAACAAAAGCUGUAUAUUUUCUGUAUUAUAUAUCACAUGUUCAAGGCUGCGGUAGUCUCUGGAAGGAAAGUGAAGUGAUCGAAUGGUGGUCCCAAGUUUUUUGCUGUCAGCAUCUCAUCUCCCCCAUUACUCUUACUUAAGUCUGUGCGCUGCCAGCUCUUGUUCUUCAAAGUCACUUCUUAUCUGUCCACAUAAGAUGUUGGCACUUCUUCCCACACUAUUCCACUAUGCCUUGUAUUUUGCCCUAUGCCCCUUACACUGUGCAGACUCCUUCUUGAAAUCUUACUUUUUCAUGUAGUUUCUUGAGCAAUAGAAAAAUCAUAGCCAUAUUUAGGUACUCUUCCCUUCCUCUUUUCCUCUUGCCAGAUAAUGAGUUCUUUCUGUAUUUUUAAUUCAUGAAUUUAUGGUCAUUAGAAUAAGCUCUCUAAAGCGAGGUCAUUGUCUUUACUAGUCAGUGUUAAGAGACAGGACUGCUGGUCUGUUUGGUAUGACAGUUUCUGUGUGUUAUGAUUUUCUAAUAAAAUAGAAAUAAAUUAAUGUAAAAUAAGUAAUGUUUUGGGGAAUAGAUGGUAAUAUACGAAACAUCAAAAUUUUAUCUUUUGAGAGGUCUAAAACCAGUCAGUUUUAGUGAUACCAUUCUUUACUUCUGCUUCUGAUCUCUUAUCUCCCAGAGAGAUCUUAAUCCCUCCUGUCCUUCAAAAAAUAGCUUAAUUCUCCAUACAUAAAACUUCUAAGAUGGCAUUAAGGUUGAAAGUAGAUAGCAUUGACUUGGUUGUUGAAGCCUUGCCAAGAAGGCUGGUAUUAUCAAACGAACAUUAGAAGAUGGUAGAAAAAAAUUACAAGAAUUGUGUAGGACUCCUUUGUGGAGGAGAGUGAGAGGGAAAGCUUUUUAAAAAGCUAGAAAAUCAUAAGUUAGUUUUAACUUGUACAGAAAUUUUUAAAAAUUGGCUUGUUCCCUUUUUGAUGCGUUGUGACAUAUUGAGAGAAGUUGAAAGGUAUAUAAAAAACCACUUGCUUGUUCUUGGAGUGCUUGCUCAUGUCGUUUCCAUUCUAGGUGUGUGCGCACCCAUGUGCGCGGUCGUCGGAGAUUUUCGCCUUAGCGGUAACCAUAGGGCCAGCUGUGGCGUCCCCUUGAGUGUUGCGCCCAGGCGCUGGUAUAUCAGGCACCAUUGGCCCUAUCCCCUCUCAGUUCCUUCUUACUGCCCAUGGUGGUUAGUUGGUGCGCUUUUCCUUGCUUAGCAAGGGCUAUCAGUUUUUUUUCUCCUUUGGACUUCAUUCCUUAAGGCCUUGUAUGUAAUUAAUUCUUCAGUAGUUAGUGUUAAGUACCUGUUAAGUGUCUAGUUUUUAGUAGUUAGAGUCCCAGAGGGGACUUUGCCCCUUGUGGGCAUGCUCCGGUCUCUGGGGUUCAAGCCCUACACAGAGCUUGAACAGGCCUAUGCCUAUUAGUGACUCCCACGGCACUGUCUCAAGUGCUUAGGGGAGGCGCACAUAAGAGAAGUGCCGUAUCUGCAGAAACUUUUGGCCCAGCAUGCAGAAAGAGCGGGACAUUCGACCUCAGGUUUUUCUGAUGGAGUCCGCCCUCCAUCCGGCCUCUGAGCUGUCUUGGCAUCAGUGCGACGUGCACCCCCGGCACCGAGCUCCAUUCAGCACGGUUCUGGCUGCCUCCACUGCCAUGGCUGUGGCAGUCUCAUCCAGGGUCUGCUAGAAGAAGGGACAGAGACACUGGGUUUAGUCAUCGCCUCCAUUCUGCCUCCCACUCACUUGCUCAGCCUGGCCUAGCGAAUUGUCCGGAGGGCAGAAGUGCUCAUUUUGAUGGUGCUCAAGAGCGACGCCCCAGCCAAUUCCCCAGAUCCACCGUUCCUUUUCCUCAACCACCUUCACCCCUACCGUUCGGCCUGGUCGUGGGUCACCUCGGACCUCUGGAUACUGCACAUAGUAUCUCAGGGCUAAACCCUGCAAUUUUCGGCCACCACUCCCUCCCACAGCCCCUUUUCCCUGUCCCUCUUCAGGGAUCUUUCUCACGAGCAACUCCUUAUGUGGCUGGGGGCAGUAGAGGAGGACACGAAAGGGAAAGUGUUCUACUCCUAGUACUUCUUAAUCCUGAAAGCAAAAGGAGUCCUCAGACCCAUCCUGGACCUGUGUUGCCUCACAAGUCUCUCAAGAAGUUGACGUUUCCCUGGGUUCCAUCAUCUCCUCCAGGAGAUUAGUACACCGCUCUCAAUUUACCGGAUGCUUAUUUCCAUAUUCCUGGGUCACAGACAUUUUUUUCAGCUUCAUAGUGAGCAGGCACGAUUUUCAGUUCAUGGUGCUGCCCUUUGACUUAUCUUCGGCCCCAGUGGUGUUCUCAAAAGGCCUGGCUCCAGUGGCGGCUUAAAUGAGACAUUGAGGGGUCCAGAUUUUCCUGUAUCUUGAUGACUGGCUUAUCUAGGGUCUCAGGAGCAGGUGCAGAGGAGCCUCAAUCUGGUGAGUUCGACUUGUCACGAUUUGGGCUUGCUAAUAACCAUUAAAAAGUCUGCAUUAAUGUGAGUCCAGCACAUAGAAUUCAUAAGGAAGAUCCUCGACUCCAUGCGAGCCAGGGCCUUCCUUCCGGAAGUGUGUUUUCAGACCAUGUCGUACUUGAUCUCCCAUUUAAAGAACCACCUGUUCAUUGUGGCCCACACCUGCCUAUGUCUGAUGGGCCAAGUGGUCGCCCAUGCUGGCUCCAUUUAUGACCUCUGCAAGCAUGGCUGGCCUCGGUCUAUAUCCCCAGCAGACCCAGGUUGGACCAGGAGGUCAGGGUGCCGAACCAUGUCCUGUUGUCCUUGCAAUGGUGAUUGGAUCCCAAGUCGGUGCUGCAGGGAGUUCCCUUCACAGCUCUGUCUCCGUUGCUUGAACCUGGUCUCCCGACUAUUUGGAUCUGGGCUGGGAGGCCCACCUGGACGAGCUAAGCACCCACAGCCACUGGCUGUGGGACAAUCUCGCCCUCCAUAUCAACAUCAGGGAGCUCAGGGUGGUUCACCUCGACUGCCAGGCUUUCUUGCCCCACCUGAAACGCAAGGUGGUACAGGUCCUGACGGACAAUGGCACCACGAUGUAUUAUAUCAACAGACAGGGCGUUGCCAAGUCCUCGGCCCUUUGUCAAGAGGUGCUCAGCUUUUGGGACUUUUGUGUGCAGCAUGCCAUUCAUCUGGUCGCCAGCCACCUGCCAGGCACCAGGAACAUCUUGUCAGAUCACCUCAGCAGGACCUUCUCAUCUUGCCACAAAUGGUCACUCCAUCCAGAGAUGGUCAACAUAAUCUUCUAGAGGUGAUGGACUCCCCCAGGACCUGUUCGCAUCCAGGCAGAACAGAAAGUGUCACGUGUUAAGUUCGAUUUGGGGUCUGGACAGAGGUUCCCUUUUGGACGCCUUUUUUAUUCCAUGGUUGGGAGCACUGAUGUAUUCCUUCCCACCAGUGCCACAGGGUCCUUGUGAAGGUGAAGCAGGACAGAGUGACGGUUAUCCUGGUAGCUCCUGCAUGGCCCGUCAGCACUGGUUCGGCACGUUGCUGAGCCUUUUGGCAGCCACGCCUCUUCCGCUGUCUCUUUGGCUGUAUCUGCUGUCCCAGAACCAUGGCACUCCUCUGCAUCCAAACCUUGCAGUGCUGCACUUGACAGCUUGGCUACUGCAUGGCUAAGCACGGACGAGUGGGCAUGCUCGACCUGUGUCCAACAGGUCUUGCUGGGUAGCAGAAAUCCUCCACCAGGGCAACCUACCUGGCUAAAUGGAAAAGGUUCGAGUGCUGGGCCUCGGAGCGACGCAUCUUAGGGCCGAGUAGGCUUCGCUGCAGGACAUAUUGGAUUAUCUGCUGCAUCUCAAACGCUAGGGGUUGUCCAUCUCUUUGAUCAAGGUCCACCUGUCCACCAUUUUGGCGUUGUGUCCUCCAUUCCAGGGCAAGUCUCUCUUCGCCCAGCCUAUGACAGCAUGUUUUUUGAAGGGUCUGGAAUGCCUCUAUCCACACAUCCGGGAUCCUCCCCUCUCCCCCUGCCUCGGGAUCUGAAUUUUGUGCUGUGAAGGCUUGUCAGACCUCCCUUUGAGCGUGUGGCUUCCUGCUUCCUCCUGCUUCUCUCCUUGAAGGUUUUGUUCCUGGUUGCCAUAACGGAUGUCUGAGAUCAGGGAGCUCAUCUCGGAGCUGUCUUAUAUGAUCUUCUAGAAGAACACGGUCCAGCUGCGCCCGCUUACGGUGUUUCUGCCCAGGGUCAUUUCUCAGUUUCAUACUGGUCAGGACAUAUAGUUACUGGUCUUCUGUCCGAAGCCCCAUGCAGCUGAUGAGGAACGCAGGCUUCACACCCUGGACGUCAGGAGGGCGUUGGCAUUUUACAUAGAUAGAAUGAAGCAGUUCCGUAAGUCAACGUAGUUGUUGUUCAUUGUUGUGACAGACAGGAUGAAAGGUCGUCCGGUGUCUGCUCAGAGAAUCUCACCCUGGAUUACAGCCCGCAUCCGUUACUGCUAAGAGCUGGCAAAGGUGUCCCUGAUGGCGAUCCAAGAGAUCUGUUGAGCCGCUCUCUGGUUGUCCGUCCACAUGUUGGCAUCACAUUACACGCUGACCCAGCAAGCUCAAGACAACGCUGGCUUUGGCCGAGCUGUGCUGAAAGAUGCAAGGCUUUGAACUCUGAACCCACCUCCAUUGAUACUGCUUGUGAGUCACCUACAAUGGAAUUGACAUGAGCCAGUACUCGAAGAAGAAAAAACGGUUACCUACCUUUCGUAACUGUUGUUCUUUGAGAUGUGUUGCUCAUGUCCAUUCCAUUGCCCGCCCUCCUGCCUUUCUGUCGGAGUUGUCGGCAAGAAGGAAUUGAGAGGGCGUAGGGCCUGUGGCCCCUGACAUGCCAGCGCAUGGGCGUGACACUCAGGGGGGCACAACGGGCGGCCCUUUGGAUACCGCUCAGGUAAAAAUCUCCAAUGACCGCACAUGUGGGCGCACACACACCUAGAAUGGAAUGGACUUGAGCAACACAUCUCGAAGAACAACAGUUACAAGAGGUGGUGUGUUUGUUUUUUUACCUUAGCCGAUAUUUCUAAGUCAAAUUUUGUCUUCCCCUGGUUUUGCUGGAGAACUGCUUGGGAAGUAGGUGUAUAUGAGGUGUGUGGUGUGAACUGUCACACCUUACUUAAUUGGAGGGACAAGGAUGUGGAAUAUUUAACAAAGAUGUCAUUUGUCCCAGGUGUUCAUUAGGAAGAAGUAUUGGUAAAAACAAGGUUUUUAUCACUGUCUAAAAAUUCUUUAACCCUCUUAGUGGCUGUUUUCAGUCUCAUGUGAUGUCAUAAUUCCCUUAGUUUUCCAGUCAUUUUAGGCUUGGUCUACACUAGCAAUUUGUGUUUGCUAUAACUGCGUUGCUGAGCAGUGCAGUUAUGCUAACCUAACUCCUGGUGCAGACUCUUGUUGACAUAGCUACUGAUUCUCAGGGAGGUGGAUUACCUACGCUAAUGGGAGAAGCCCUCCUGUUGCCAUAGGUAGCAUCUUCACUGAAGCGCUAUAGUGGUGCAUCGGUGCAGCUGCGCCGCUCUGGCCUUUUAAGUGUAGAUAAGCCCAGAGUCUUUCUUUGUAGGUAGGGCCUCAGUUACUAGUGUAAAAAUGAAACAAAAAAAACUGUUUGUGUCAGAAGUUUUCCAGCUCUUUUACAUGUUUUUUUUUAAAAAAAGGGGGGGGGGAGGAAAUAAACCCCAUCUUAUUUUUCUUUUGCCCUUCACCGGUCUACAGCUGCCCAGCUCUGAAGGCAGAACCACCACCAGCAGCAGCACAGAAGUGACAGGUUGCAGUACUGCAACCCCUCACCCCACAAUCUUCUGACCCCCCCACAACUCCUUUUUGGGUCAGAACCCCUGCAGUUACAACACUGUGAAAUUUCAGAUUUAAAUAGCUGAAAUCAUGAAUUUAACGAUUUUUAAGGUUCUGUAACCUUGAAAUUGACCGAAAUGGAUCAUCAAUUUGGUAGGGCCCUACUUAUUGGUGUAAACAAACACUUCAGUCUUGGGCCAUGAAAUUUAUAACACAUAACAUGGUAAAAAGACAUGCAUAUAAAAAACAAAUUUUAAAGCUAAUGCUCUGUGUUGAUAUUGAUGAAAUUUGACCCCCAGCCUGUCCAGUGUAGCGACAUCUUCAUUUUUAUUCAGCUUCAUCUGUGGAUUUUUAAUUUUUUUUUUUUAAGUAUGGUGUUUUUUUUCCCCUAAAGCAGAGAGAGGUUGUCUUGUCUUGUUGGUGUGUUUGUUUGACUUGGGGCUGGUUUAAAAUGCAAAAAAUUUUGUUCAUUUCCAAGCACAAAACACGUUGGUUCAAAUGCUGAUCUUAGAUAUGCAACAUAAAGCUCCCUAUGCCUCAGGUAAGAAAUGAAGUUGCACAUGCAUAUCUAAGGUCAUAUGUUGAUUCCCUUUUGGUAAAUUUUGAAGCCCUAAGUUAUGCACAGCUAACUGGAGGAAUCAAUUGAUUUAACAUGCCAAGAUAGCUUAAUGUGUAAUGAUGUGUCCCUGUGUCCAAAUUUGGAAAAGAAAAGUUUAUCAGAUAACAGUAAAAAUACUGACUGUUAAAACUGCUGACGCACUUCUUGGAUCCUUUUACCUUGUAUUAAAAAUAAAUACUCUGAAAUUUAAUUUCUUUCUUUUCUCUAAAGAUGGCCAUUGUUGUGAAAUAAAAGAGCUUCUUUUAGAAAGUCUGCUAUGAAAUUCAGCCAUUUAAAUCCUUAGGGAAGUUGGUUGAAAACAAAAAUUCCUGUUCCACAGGAAAUUCUGAAAUUAAAAAAAAAAUAUUUCAAAAUUAAACAAAAAACUAAAUUUCAGGCAGAAUGGGAAUUUCAAAUUUUCAUUUUAAAAACAGUCAAAAUGACAUUUAGUUUUGACUUUUUCUAAAAGUUUCCAAGGCUCCCUGAGCUGUAUACAGUCCUAGCAGACCCUGAGGUGGGGAGCCUAGGAGCCAAGCAACUUGGAAAUCCUGAGAGCCCCUGCUCUGGGCCAGUCCACCUCCUGAGAUGACGGGGAGCUAGAGAUCCUGGUAUUCCAAAGAGCUUGGGAGACUGGUCUGCCAAGGAACAAGGCAAGCAAACUGGCAGGAAGUCAGGCGGGUUUCUAAUAGAAAUGUUUAUUUUGAUGAAUUUGUAUUUUCCAACAGAAAAGCAUUCCUUCUGAAAUUUUCCAGCCAGCUCUGGUGGUUAGUUAUUGCUAAAACCAAAACAUUUCUAUUAGUUUUUUUUUCUUUUUUGGCAGUGGGGUGGUGUGCAUGUGCGUGCAUUUUGAAUUUAAAAGUUGCUUGGUUCCCCUGUGCAAAAGAGACCGAUUUGCAAGAAAAUAAAAACAACAUAACACAGACAUAUGUUCAAUAAUUUCAUGUUUGCUUUGUCCUCUAAUGCCUUUUUGAAGUUUAGAUGAAGAAUUCUAGUACACCCAAUAAUUUAUCAAAAUUUGUAUAUCAAAAUGGAUUUAGUUAAAACAGUGAAAAUUUAUAGUACUUCGUGUAUAUGGGAGAAAAAAAGUUAAAAUAAACCUUUUAUGUCAUACAAUGUGUUCAGUGGCAUUUAUGAGAAGUUAUGCUCCUGUGAUAUUUAUUUCAUUUUUAAAGAUUCUUAGUAAUAGGUAGUAUUUUUAUCUUUUAAUUAAAAAUUACAUUUUUUUAAUUUAAAUUAGUAAAGUAAAAAGAUUAAAGCAGCAUAAAUGAGGGGAAUGCUGUGUACCAGUACGCAAAUGUGUAGCUAGUUUUCUGUUUUGUUUGAAAGCUUGUGAAAUAUGUGCAUGAAAUACUUAAACAUAAAUAAGUAUACAGCUUAACAUUUCAAAAAUUGUUCUCGUUAUAGUUCUUAAACUUCUUUACCUUUUUUGAAAAUAUUUUCUAAGGUAGAUUAUUUUUCAAGACUUGUUAAUUAUUGACCCUCUGAAAAUUUACUAGAGUUGAGUUAUAUUUCCUUAAAUCCAUGUAACUUAAAUAAUUUUGUAAUGGUAAGAAAUGUUUCAUGUUUCUUGAUGCUACAGGUUGUGGUGAUCCUCUAGGUUUAGUUUUAUGGUGAGUAGUAAAAUACUAUGGGCAUCUAGGUGAAUUCAGCAGUACUGCUGAAUUGCUAUUUAUUAUUUUGUGGUGCACAUGGAAUAUAAAGAGUGAAUUGAGAAUUGCCCUGUUCAUGUAAAGGUAUAGAAGCCAAUGAAUUGUGGAGGUGAAUAUAACACUCAUGAAAUGGGGGUAUGCUGUCGCAUCUUGAUCCCAAAUAACUGCAUUUUCAAGACCUGUUAUAAAUAUUUCACUUUAAAUUCACAAAUUGGUAUACUUAUCUGCAAUUUCAUACUCUUCAGUGCCUACGUCAAAUGUAUAAAGUACCAGUGAUAACCAAAAUCACAGUUGUUUGGCUUGUUUAAACUAAAGAAUAAUUAUAGAAUAUAUUUAUUUGCAUAAAGGUUUGAUUUUUUUUUAAGGGGGGGCAUGUGUGUGUUUUUAACAUAGGCUCCAAUCCUACAAAUUGAGUGGCGCUACCCAUAUGCAUAAAGUUACUCAUUCACAUAUUUGCAGGAUCAGGGCCUGUAUAUGUGUGUGUUUGUGAGUAAAUAAUAUGGAGUGGUAGAAAUAAAUUCUUCCACAUGUGGGGUGUAUCAAAUAUAUAAAUUAUAUUCAGGAAAUCUAUGUGUACACCUCACACACACACGUGGGAAUGAUAUAUUUGUAUUUAUCUGGUAUCAGUGGUCCUCUCACUUGUAUUCUGCCCCUUAGUAGCAGUCCUGGUGGAGAUGAAUUAACAUACCAAACUUCUGAAUAGCUUCUGAACUGCUGUUUUUUAUGAACAGACUGCUCAAAUGUUUUUCGCCUCCAUUCCCCAUCUUGAAAUAUGAAUUUCUGUCAUUGAAAGACUAUAUUGUCUCUGGACCAGUGAAAGGUUUACAGCUUAAUUAUACAAUCACAGGUGGAGAUAUCUAUGAGGUAAAUUGUGGGGCCAUGUAUCACACACCUCUAAUUACCUGGUAUUUGCUCUGCCUGUGAAUCCUUCUCCUCCCAAACUUAAUUCUAAUAUUCCAAACUUUGGAUCAGCUACUGCUUUAUUUAAAAAAAACAAACAAACCAGAUUCAACCAAUGUCCUUGUAUUUUCUCCCUUUACCCAUCACAAAGUAAAAUCACAAUCUGAGAUGGAGGAGGGGGGUUAUUCAAUCCUAAAGCAGUAACAGGUUAUAUUUCCCUAUUUUUUUUACCCUGCAGGGCUAGAAAUUUAGUUUUAUAGCAGUGUGAAGGGAGAAUUCUCUGUGUUCGAUUGGGAGGUGCACCAUUUUGCUUCUAACGAAUCAAGAUACCUUUUAAGCAACGACAUUUUUAUGUGUAGAAAAGUUUAGGUCAUUUUUGGAGAUGUUUUUAAAUUCAUUAUUUAUAUUUUUCCCUCCCAUCAUUUGUAUAGUAACUAGGCAUUGGCUUGAAGGAAGAGGGAUACAAGAUAUAAUCCAAAUACAUUUCACAAAAUAUCUAAAAUAUUUGUAAAAUGUUUCCCCUGUAAUAUAUGUGGACUGCAGAAUACAUGGUGAUAUGAUACAAAGACUUUAUGCAACACUUACUGUAGGUGUCUUUUAUGGUGUCAUUAAGGAAUAAUGUGAACUUUCUAAAAUUAUUACAACCAAAUGCAAGCACACAGCUGAGGGCCAAUCCCAGGCCUGAAACAAACUUUCUUUUUCCCUCAUGGCAUUGAGCAUAUUACUGAGCGAUGAACUGUAAUACGUAAAUAAAUGAGCUUCUCAUUUUUAAAAGAAAUAUUUAUUGCCUUAAUGUAAAAAGGCCAUGAUUUUUUUUUUUAACUUGAAAGUGGGAGAAGGAUUUGGCGGGGCGGGGGGUUGUUAUUACAGAUUCAUGCAUCUAACCUGAAGGACUUGAUGAUGAUGAAAGAUAAAUGAAAUCACGCGGAACUGAAAGCAGAGCAAAAAGGAAGGACUUUUUAGUCAGUUUGUUCAAACAAACAAAAAACCCACUUAUGUUUUUUAUACCCGAUGAACAUUUCAGAGAAUGAAUAUUAAGAAUGCAAAACCCCUAUUCUUUCAGGUGCGAUAGCUUACAAUAAACAUCUCUUGAGACCCGUAAGGAGUUCUCCAGCAUAAUUAGGGAAGACCAACAUUUCCAGUCUUAUUUCUAAUAUAUAAAAACAAGCAGAAAAACUUUUUAAUUUUUAUUUUUAAAGCGUCACCCUUCAUUUACAAUAAUAUAAACAAAAAUAAUAUGGCUGAGGGUUUUCUUUUUAAUAAAUCCUCUCCAGUCACCUUUCACCUGUCUACCCCACUAUUACACACUGCAGAUGAGUUAGUUUUCUGAUAAAUAAGCAGUAAAAUAACUUGGUUUCCGUGCUACCACAGCUGCAAUCAUCUUUAAUGCUUGAAUUAGAGCCUUGUUGGUAUGAAUGUGGCUGUGCUCAUAGUAUGCUGUCUGUGCGGGGGCCACAACUUUGACUUCCCGGUAUGAUCCAAAAUAACUCAUAUCAGUUGAUCUUCAGGGUACACUGUGAGGCCUUUCUCUUUACGUACGCUUUCGGGGAGAUGGAUCAGUGAAGUCAAUAUGGUGUUUAUGGGAGUAGGCAGAGUAUAGUUUAGAUUUUAUUUUCUCUAAUAGGCUCUUUUAUUUUUAUUAAUAGGGAAACUUCUGUGUAUCUUUUAUGUCAAUGUGCUUUUAGUUCCCCAGUGGUAUCGAGCCCCUGAUAAGUGCUGCUUCUUUUUAUUAGUAAUACAUUAAAUAAAGAAAAGAAUAUAGUAUUAUUCCAAAACAGAAAAAAAAACUUUAAAACUCUAGUUAUUUGUAAGAGAAGUAUUUUUGAAGAAGUGAAGAAUAUUUGAAAUUGGCUUUGAGAAGGGAAGUUAGAAUAACCAAAAAGGACUAUCAAUUGCAUACACCAACAAAAAUGUGUGUUGGGUUUUUUUAAUCAAAGUGUUAGAAAUAUUUAACUGAAACUCGGUAAGUCAACCCAUGUGCUUUAACUGUAUAUGCUGAGAGGAUAAAUUUCCAUAAUAUUUGAUAAAAAUGCAGCUUUUAUACUGUACAUGGCUUGCUUCAGAUGUCCAUUUAAAUUUUGGGAGCACAGAAUGUGUUUUGUGCAUUACCCUAUACCUCAAAGAUCAAAUACUUAUAUAUACAAAUACACAUAUAUGCAUUUUUGAUGUGUGGUGUAUAAUAGUUGGGUAUCUGUACAAACUGAAGUAAAUGUAAAAUGGACAGAUAUACACAUUAAAAGUUUCUAUUUUUCUGUU